This 58-nucleotide non-coding RNA is filed under the name Helianthus annuus (common sunflower). The record is from RNAcentral. Lineage: Eukaryota; Viridiplantae; Streptophyta; Magnoliopsida; Asterales; Asteraceae.
CAUUGGUCGAGAGUUGGCUCCACUCUCCUGGUAAGUCUAAGGUAGGACGAAACUAAUG